GGCUGGUCCAAGUGUAGUGGUAUUUACAACUAAUCAAUCACAACGAGUUAUAGAUUUCUUUGUUCCUUCUCCACUCCCACUGCUUCACUUGACUAACCUGAA
Molecule: Y RNA, 102 nt
Filed under: Propithecus coquereli (Coquerel's sifaka)
Lineage: Eukaryota; Metazoa; Chordata; Mammalia; Primates; Indriidae
Description: Y RNA (ENSPCOG00000003178.1)
Rfam family: Y RNA
About the family: Y RNAs are components of the Ro ribonucleoprotein particle (Ro RNP), in association with Ro60 and La proteins. The Y RNAs and Ro60 and La proteins are well conserved, but the function of the Ro RNP is not known.
Source: Rfam by way of RNAcentral